This 1053-nucleotide ribosomal RNA is filed under the name Staphylococcus epidermidis. RNAcentral's name for it is "partial 23S ribosomal RNA". It matches the Rfam family "Bacterial large subunit ribosomal RNA", at positions 1 to 1031 of the family's 2925-position model. The record is from RNAcentral. RNAcentral also lists the same sequence under 1 other name. Lineage: Bacteria; Bacillati; Bacillota; Bacilli; Caryophanales; Staphylococcaceae.
UGGGUUGCUUGCAAGGGCGUGUGGUGGAUGCCUUGGCGGACAGGACCGAUGAAGGACGUAGCGGGCUGCGAUAAGCCUCGGGGAGCCGUCGAGCGGGCUUUGAUCCGAGGAUUUCCGAAUGGGGGAACCCGGCCACCGUCAUGGGUGGUCACCGGCUUUGGCCGGGGGGUACGCAGGGAAGUGAAACAUCUCAGUACCUGCAGGAAAGGAUAUUCCGUGAGUAGUGGCGAGCGAAAGCGGAUCAGGCCAAACCACGCGCGUGUGAUAGGCGCCGGCCGUUGCGCGCGUGGUGUUGUGGGAGAAUGCGUCCGAGCCUCCGGCGGGCUUGGCGGCAGUGAUAAAACCGUGUGCGAGGCGAACCGGAUUGGAUGCCGGGCCGCAGAGGGUGAUGGCCCCGUAGCCGUACGCGCAUGGUCUGCCGGUCGUUUUUCCCAAGUAGCGCGGGCCUCGUGGAAUCCCGCGUGAAUCCGCCCAGACCGUUGGGUAAGCCUAAAUAUUCCUGUCCGACCGAUAGCGUACUAGUACCGUGAGGGAAAGGUGAAAAGCACCCCGGGAGGGGAGUGAAACAGUUCCUGAAACCGUGCGCCUACAAACCGUCGGAGCCUUUCGGGGUGACGGCGUGCCUAUCGAAAAAUGAGUCUGCGAGUCAGUGGCAUGUGGCGAGCGUAACCCGUGUGGGGUACGCGUAGCGAAAGCGAGUCUUAAAAGGCGUUUUGAGUCGCGUGUCCUGGACCCGAAGCGGGAUGAUCUAGCCCUGAGCAGGUUGAAGCGCGGGUAAGACCGCGUGGAGGACCGGACCCACCUGGGUUGAAAACCGGGGGGAUGACUUGGGGUUAGGGGUGAAAGGCCAAUCAAAUUCCGUGAUAGCUGGUUCUCUCCGAAAUGCAUUUAGGUGCAGCGUCGGAUUCAUUACAUCCGGGGGGUAGAGCUACUGGAUGCUUGCGGGCCCGUACUGGGUACCAACAGCAACCAAACUCCGAAUACCCGUGAUGCGUAUCCCGGCAGUGAGUCGGCGGGGGAUAAGCUCCGUCGUCGAAAGGGAAACAGCCCAGA